CAAGAAAUAACAAUACAGGGCUAAUGUCUUGUAAUUGGAAUGAUGGCGACUUAAACCCUCGCCAGAGUAACAAUUGGAGGGCAAGUCUGGUGCCAGCAGCCGCGGUAAUUCCAGCUCCAAUAGCGUAUAUUAAACUUGUUGCAGUUAAAAAGCUCGUAGUUGAAUUUCUGCGUUGCGUGAUUCUUGCUUUUUGCUUGACUUUCGCUUCGCUUUUUUUUUACUUUGAGAAAAUUAGAGUGUUUAUCGCAGACUUUUGUCUUGAAUACUUCAGCGCGCCUGCUGCCUUCCUUA
This 291-nucleotide ribosomal RNA is filed under the name Babesia caballi. RNAcentral's name for it is "partial small subunit ribosomal RNA". It matches the Rfam family "Eukaryotic small subunit ribosomal RNA", at positions 471 to 835 of the family's 1831-position model. Lineage: Eukaryota; Apicomplexa; Aconoidasida; Piroplasmida; Babesiidae. The record is from RNAcentral.